AAAGGCGUUGGAGAGCGUGGUGGCCAAGGUGAUGAGCGCCAACAAAGCAACCAGCAGGACUUUCCAGGGCAGGGCGAUGGAGUCCUGAUAAAUGUAGCCGUCGGCGCUGCAGUUGUGGGAGAGGUAAAAUCGUCAUCGAAGGCUCCAGCACUGAACAACCCUUUUCUGUGUAGCGAUAGCCCAUAGCCAGGCUCCUCUCAAACAGCCUCACUAUCUCUGAAAGUUGCAUUUCAAAGCAAAACUCCUGCAAGUACCAUUUACAAGAAGGAUCUAUGCGAGGCACAAAGCAAAUCUCAAGCAAACUGAAACUGACAGUUAAUCAAAAAAGAUGAUUAAGAAAAUAACGGUAAUCAAAGGAAAUAACUUCUCCAUCAACAAUCAGCAUACACCAUGACUGCAAGCUCCUGCUGCCUGCACCUCCUUGCCAUGAUGGACUGUACCUUGAACCCUGUGCUAAAAGAAGCCUGUUCUUUCAUAAGUUGCUUUCAUCAGAGUAUUAUGUCACAGCAACAGAAGAGAAACUAGGACAGCAUAAAUAAAGUUACAUUUCAUAAAUUUGCCAGCACCCAAAUCUAACUCAACCCUCCCAAGUAUACAGAGCCAUGUUCUAUCUUGUCCUUGUCAAAUACCCCUGUCUUUCUCUCAGGUACUUCCAAAGGCUGAUGGCUGACACCUUGGCAACAAAAAUGUAUAACUACAUUGUCUUGGUUCAUUCUUCUCUCAGUAGAUUAUUGCUUUGGAUCCUAAAUGCCAAUAUUUUUUCUGUAUAUAUUAAAUGAAAAGGUCUAAGACAGUGAUGACUUCUCUUGUUAGAAAAGUUUACUUUUCUGCCAAAUGUAUACUCUAUUUUCAGUAUUAGAGUAUGCUUUUAUUAUGUCUAUUUUGUUCUCAACUACCGCUUGACUAUAACAGACUAGUUAUGAGAAUUUGUCCUAAGGUAGUAAAUUUUAAGGCUAAAACUUUGGGCUGUGGUGAGUUCUCAGGUCAUUGUCAGUUUGUUUCCAAAAGGAAUAUGAGACCCCAGUUCUCUCUUAUUCUUCCUUCUGCUUCUUAAUCACGAGGUAAAGCAAUUUACCAUUUGCCCCAUCUUGGUCCUCUGGCAUCCUUAUCUCCAGUCCAAAUAUAGGUUAACAAAAUCUUAGAAUUUCCAAUCCAAAAGCAUAAGCCAAUAUGUACCUUUCAUAUUCAUUAAUCAAUCAUUUAACAUUUUGGUUGUUAUAGUAACAAGAAGCUAACUAACAAAGUCCCUUCAUGUUCUAAGAGAGGUAUCAUAUAUUUUUUUUAAUGUUUUUUUGGUGUUAUUUUCAUUAUGUUUGCAUUUUAAGUAUGAGUGUGCAUAGAAAAUUGGCAUUUAGUUGAGUAAGAUUGCUGAGUAUUUUGAGUCAUUAAAAUUGGGUUGUCAUUUGUUUU
This 1410-nucleotide long non-coding RNA is filed under the name Mus spretus (western wild mouse). RNAcentral describes it as "RIKEN cDNA D430036J16 gene (ENSMSPG00010004302.1)". The record is from RNAcentral. Lineage: Eukaryota; Metazoa; Chordata; Mammalia; Rodentia; Muridae.